GACGUAGGGCGCGAGCGUUGUCCGGAAUUAUUGGGCGUAAAGAGCUCGUAGGCGGUUUGUCGCGUCUGCCGUGAAAGUCCGGGGCUCAACUCCGGAUCUGCGGUGGGUACGGGCAGACUAGAGUGAUGUAGGGGAGACUGGAAUUCCUGGUGUAGCGGUGAAAUGCGCAGAUAUCAGGAGGAACACCGAUGGCGAAGGCAGGUCUCUGGGCAUUAACUGACGCUGAGGAGCGAAAGCAUGGGGAGCGAACAGG
This 253-nucleotide ribosomal RNA is filed under the name uncultured bacterium. RNAcentral describes it as "partial 16S ribosomal RNA". It matches the Rfam family "Bacterial small subunit ribosomal RNA", at positions 524 to 776 of the family's 1533-position model. The record is from RNAcentral.